Molecule: ribosomal RNA, 438 nt
Filed under: uncultured bacterium
Lineage: Bacteria
Description: bacterial SSU rRNA
Rfam family: Bacterial small subunit ribosomal RNA
Source: RNAcentral
CCUACGGGGGGCAGCAGUGGGGGAUAUUGCGCAAUGGGGGCAACCCUGACGCAGCAACGCCGCGUGAAGGAUGAAGGUUUUCGGAUUGUAAACUUCUUUUCUUAAGGACGAAAUUUGACGGUACUUAAGGAAUAAGCUCCGGCUAACUACGUGCCAGCAGCCGCGGUAAUACGUAGGGAGCAAGCGUUGUCCGGAUUUACUGGGUGUAAAGGGUGCGUAGGCGGCAAUGCAAGUCAGAUGUGAAAUCUAUGGGCUCAACCCAUAAACUGCAUUUGAAACUGCGUUGCUUGAGUGAAGUAGAGGCAGGCGGAAUUCCCCGUGUAGCGGUGAAAUGCGUAGAGAUGGGGAGGAACACCAGUGGCGAAGGCGGCCUGCUGGGCUUUAACUGACGCUGAGGCACGAAAGCGUGGGUAGCAAACAGGAUUAGAUACCCCUGUA